GUAUCCUGGCUCAGGAUGAACGCUAGCUACAGGCUUAACACAUGCAAGUCGAGGGGCGAGCAUGGUCUUAGCUUGCUAAGGCUGAUGGCGACCGGCGCACGGGUGAGUAACACGUAUCCAACCUGCCGUCUACUCUUGGCCAGCCUUCUGAAAGGAAGAUUAAUCCAGGAUGGGAUCAUGAGUUCACAUUGUCCGCAUGAAUUUAAAGGUAUUUUCCGGUAGACGGAUGGGG
Molecule: ribosomal RNA, 232 nt
Filed under: uncultured bacterium
Lineage: Bacteria
Description: partial 16S ribosomal RNA
Rfam family: Bacterial small subunit ribosomal RNA
Source: RNAcentral